AACCCACGCUACCUAACCCUAAAUUGCUCUUUCCCUGUCCGUCCUCCUGUGUGCGGCGCCGCCGCUGCGCACAUCUCAGGCGAGUGCUUCCAACCCAUCUCCUCGCCCUCCUCCACAUCUCCGGCCAAGGCGCUCACUUCUCCGGCCCUCCUCCACAUCUCCUCGCCUCCACCCAUCCGCUUCUUGUCCUUUGGUUCUCCAAGACUGCAGUAUGGUGCUCGGCGGCUGCGACAGCGGAGCUGAUGGUGCGCCAGCCGACCAGUUGAAUGGAGGCAGUAGCAAGGGGCAGCGGCAACAACCUAGAGGGCGGAGGUUGAUUGGCAAGGUACGAAUGUUUCUUGAUGCCUUUAUAUCCUCCUACUUAAGCAACAAUUUGUCUCAUCCCUGGUACUUGCAUGCAGUUUUAAUUCUUCAACAAUUUCAGAUCGAUGUUACUUUGUUUCUUAGUUAUAAUAUGUACUGCGAUGUACUUGUGUUCCUUUAGAUUAAGGAGAGGCCCUGGUAAAUGGCUUGGCAAAUGCAUAUAUCAUACGGGGGUAAGAAAAGUUGAGUCUUGUUAAGUUGAACACAGUAGUGUAAUUAUUAAUCUGAAAUAUACAUGUAUCUUGUAGUCACCAAGGAUGCUCUAGAUCUGGUAAUAUUCGUUUUGGUCCAACAGAAAAGUGGAUUACAAACCUUGUUAUGAACAUCCUAAAAUAUAUAAUUGUUCCAUAUAUUUGUGCAGUGUGCUUAUUUUUGAGCUGUUGAGAUCAUGCUUGUGCGCAACAUUAAUUUUUUUUCUCAAGAACAGUUUAAUUUCAACAGAAAAGUAGAUGUUGACCGAUGAUUAAUUUCAAUCUUCAGAGGUACCAUUACGUGGUGGUUCUAGAACUAAGCAUCAUUCUAUCUUUCUCAAGAACAGAUUACAGUUUGUGACUUGUAUGUUUGGCAAACUAGAGCAUCGAGUUGUAUAUAAAUUACUUAUUCCUUAGUAUCUAAACUAGAGCAUCGGAUUGUAUAUUUUUUUGUUUAUUAUUAAUAUGAGGACUACCUAGUAAGCAAGGGUUGCUUUCUUAGUUACGUAAUCUUCAUAACUGACCGGUGUUCUUUUGUCAUUUGAUUUUCAGGUAAUGGAACUGCAAAUAGGAGUGGCAGCGGCAACCAUGAUGCAAGUGCAAGUGGUUCCCAAAGAUCUUGGAAAACUAUUUGGUAUUUGUUCGUAAAUUGGUUGAAGUUUUUUGGCGUGAGUGGACAUAACAGUACAUUGCGCUGUUCAUGUAGUGAGAUGAGGAUGAUCACAAUUCAGAGUAUUUGGGGACAAGGAAGAUGAUCCAUCAAUGCAAGAUCAGCAAGAGGCACAAAUGCAAGUGGAAAAAGAGACGCAAAUUCAAGUGGAAAUGGACGCAGCACCAAACGAUGGCAAUUUGGAGACCCGUAGAUCUGUACGGCUUGUCAAGAAGAAGACCAAGGACGUCAACAACCUAUACUUGUUGCUUAGAAAUCUGCGGGUAAGUCUCUUCUUUUUAGUGUUUUAUCAUUCAUGAUAAUUGCUUAGAAUAUUUUAGUUACUUGGAGCUGCUAGUUACUUAGAUGUAUGCACUUUCUAUCUAUGCCUAGCCUCAUUGACAUGUUAAGCAAUGUAUUUAUAUUAUCCUGAAAUGUUAC
RNAcentral lists this long non-coding RNA (1644 nucleotides) under Triticum aestivum (bread wheat). RNAcentral's name for it is "long non-coding RNA (TAES_LNC014016)". Lineage: Eukaryota; Viridiplantae; Streptophyta; Magnoliopsida; Poales; Poaceae. The record is from RNAcentral.